GUCCACGCUGUAAACGAUGAUCACUAGAUGUUGGUUUGGUUCGCCGAAUCAGUGUCGAAGCUAACGCGUUAAGUGAUCCGCCUGGGAAGUACGGUCGCAAGAUUAAAACUCAAAGAAAUUGACGGGGGCCCGCACAAGCGGUGGAACAUGUGGUUUAAUUCGACACUACGCGAGGAACCUUACCUAGGCUUGACAUGUAACUGCUACUGGUGGAAACAUUGGGUUUUGUAGUAAUACAAACGGUUACACAGGUGCUGCAUGGCUGUCGU
RNAcentral lists this ribosomal RNA (269 nucleotides) under uncultured bacterium. RNAcentral describes it as "partial 16S ribosomal RNA". It matches the Rfam family "Bacterial small subunit ribosomal RNA", at positions 793 to 1055 of the family's 1533-position model. The record is from RNAcentral.